This 482-nucleotide ribosomal RNA is filed under the name uncultured bacterium. Its description in RNAcentral is "partial 16S ribosomal RNA". It matches the Rfam family "Bacterial small subunit ribosomal RNA", at positions 30 to 507 of the family's 1533-position model. The record is from RNAcentral.
AUUGAACGCUGGCGGCAUGCCUUACACAUGCCAGUCGAACGGUAACAGGUCUUCGGAUGCUGACGAGUGGCGAACGGGUGAGUAAUACAUCGGAACGUGCCCGAUCGUGGGGGAUAACGAAGCGAAAGCUUUGCUAAUACCGCAUACGAUCUACGGAUGACAGCAGGGGACCGCAAGGCCUUGCGCGAACGGAGCGGCCGAUGGCAGAUUAGGUAGUUGGUGGGAUAAAAGCUUACCAAGCCGACGAUCUGUAGCUGGUCUGAGAGGACGACCAGCCACACUGGGACUGAGACACGGCCCAGACUCCUACGGGAGGCAGCAGUGGGGAAUUUUGGACAAUGGGCGAAAGCCUGAUCCAGUCAUGCCGCGUGCAGGAUGAAGGCCUUCGGGUUGUAAACUGCUUUUGUACGGAACGAAAAGACUCUGGUUAAUACCUGGGGUCCAUGACGGUACCGUAAGAAUAAGCACCGGCUAACUACGUG